RNAcentral lists this long non-coding RNA (3422 nucleotides) under Pelobates cultripes (western spadefoot toad). The record is from RNAcentral. Lineage: Eukaryota; Metazoa; Chordata; Amphibia; Anura; Pelobatidae.
CAUUCGUCUAAGUUCUUACCAAACAACAUAUUCCCGUGGAAUGGUAAGGAACACAAACUAUUCUUGGAGGAAGCAAGAUCUGAGCAAGAUCUGAGCCAAAGCGCCCGUCUGGUGGAAAUUGUAAAAGACAUAUUCCUGGCAAGAUUUCUUACUAGAUCCACUGCUGCUUCAGAUGAGAAAUCAAUGGCUAAUCCUUCAGGCCAUCCACUAUGGAGGAACGGCUUCUGCCACCCCUGAUGUCCUCCUCCAGUUCUUGUAGCCAGACCUUCAUUGCUCUUGUAAUGGACGUGAGAGCAAAGGCCGGGUGGAGACUCGUGCCUGAGGCUACAUAAGACUUGGAAAGAUAGUAUUCCAUUUUCCGAUCCAUCGGAUCCCUGAAAGAACCCGCAUCGUCCACAGGCAAGGUAGUGUGCUUAGCCAACCUGACAACUGCAGCAUCAACUUUGGGUGCAAAAUCCCAUGCCUCAGCAUCUUUGGGCUCGAAUGGGUAUAACUUGGAGAAUUUUCCCAUGGCAGAUGAUCUCCUAUCAGAUCUGGACCAUUCCUCCUUAAUAAGAUCAUUUAUUGUGUCAUGCACCGGGAAAGCCGCUCUUUUUCUCCUAAGAUCAGAGAAAUAGUGAUUAGAUGUAGAGGGUUCUGUAAGUGUAAGGACAUGAAAUGUUAACUCUUUUUGCUUUAUAUGUUUUAAAAUAAUAUUUGAAAUAAUUAUGCUGACUUUGGCAGAUGUAUUUUGUACCAAGGUCUUUCGUCUACAGGAUGUAUGACCUUGCUCGACCUCAGGAUGUUACUGUGCCGUCUUUAUUCAAACGCUUAUCUUUUUAAUGUCAGACAAGUAUGUACUACUAACUUUAAGGACGUGAUAAAUCUCACUGCUUGCGUGACAAACAGUGUAUAAAUGCUAGCCCUGAAAAUAUACUCAUUGAGAACUUGUUAAGCACUCUUUCAUCUCUGUGUCUUAAUUUGCUAACAAGAACUCCCAUCAAUUGAUGUGGUGACCGGAGGAUCGAGAAUCGAGGGGAGUUGAGUCCAGAACAGCAUUAACCCUUUCAGCUUGGUGUCAUGAAGUGGGAUUACAGCAGGACCAUUUGCGGUAAGUAGCCUUUUUGUGUCUUACUGACGCUAAUUGUCUAUGACCCCCUUUGGUUCAGUAAGUCUGUAUCCAGUAGAAAGGAAAGGUGUAAGGACUUUAGUUAUAUUGAGACUGUAAAUAGGUCUCCGGUUUAUUAGACAUUUGGUCUAAAUAUAUAUAGGGUUUUGGUAACCCAGAUUAGUAUCUAAGAUAGAUACAGGGUAUCUCAGGUAGAUACAGGUUUUGAGACCAUAAGAGGUCUCCGGUUUAUUAAGACUAUAGGUGUUCUGAGGAGCACGGUUUAUAGAUCUAUAAGUAUACCCCAAACAUCUCUUUCUCCUGGUCACCUUUGUUUGUCUUAAGUGUUCUUUGUGGGUGAUUGUCUGUAUAGGGGACACACUUUGGUAAGUUAGUAGUGUGUCUGCCCUGAGUCAGCAGUAUGGGAAAUGUAAGUUCAGGUCCUGAGUGACCAAUAUAUAUAUACGUACUGUAUAUUAGAAAAGAACUGACUCGCAGGUUGUACCUGAUAGACCUACUUAAAUCUUUUGCUUUAUUCUUUAUGUCGCAUAGAAGUAUAAGUUUAUUACUCUGUUUUAUUGUAAGUUAUUUCACAUGGGAUCUAUGUGCCUGGUAUGAUUGUUACUUUAAUACCAUAAGCCCACUACACUUUCUAUGAGAGUGGAAUAGUUUAAAUGUGUUACAUUGUUUGCAUGAUGAGCUCAGUAGUUUUAUACUGAGACAAAGUCACUUCAUUAGUAUUUGAAAGUUAAUUCCCCGUAUGGGAUUAAUUGUAUAGAACACAAAUCAGCACAUCUUCCCUGCCCUGUGUGUUUGUUGCAGAGGAUCCAUACUGUAAAUAUGAUUUUUGUUUGUAAAUAAGAGAGCAACAUUUACAUUUUCAGAGGUCCAACACAUGCUUCAUUUUGUGCUGUAAGCUAACAAUUUUAUUGCUACAGAUCCAUGAUCCAGUGGAAUAUCUACUGCAUAUGUUUUGUGUCUUCUAUGUUUCACAUUAUAUGUGUUCUUUUAAAUUGUGGUAUAUAGCCUGGAUCAGAGAUCAUGGACAAAGGUUUCUACCUCAGAUAUGGAUAGGGUAGAAGUACUUAACCCUAUCGGCAAGAGGGACACUAUACAAAGAAUCCCUUUUAUAUCACCAUGUACCCCGUACAGUAAUGCUAUUAAAAAAAAUAAUAAUGAAACAUUGGAGCAUCUUUGAGGGUGAUAUUAAUUUGCCAAAAGAAUUUAGGAAUCCUCCCUUGUUCUCCUAUAAAAGAGCACAGAAUUUGAGAGAUAAACUAGUACAUUCGGAUAUAGGCAGCAACAAAAAACAGAGAAGAUUCUUCUCUGAACCUAAGAAAGGCACGUUCCCAUGCCUGAAUUGUAUACAUUGCAACAGUGUAAUCAGAGGUGAGUGUUUUGUACAUCCAUGAUCAGGUAAACACUUUAAAAUUCUUGAUUACUAUACGUGCAACUCAGAAUAUGUGGUUUACAUCUUGAAAUGCCCUUGUGGGUUUCUCUGUGUUGGGGAAACAAUUAGACCAGUGAAGGAAUGCAUUGGAGAACAUAAGAGGGACAUAAGAGCGGCCAUUCAGAAAGAGACAUGUGACAAACCAGUGCCUAGGCAUUUUUAACAGCAAGGUCAUACUGUUAAUCAAUUACGUUUUCAAGUAAUUGAUAGUGUUAAACCAUUAUGGAGAGGUGGAGACAGACAGAAGGUACUUCUAUGUAAAGAAACAAAGUGGAUUAGUACUUUGGAAACACUCCAUCCGGAUGGUCUGAAUGAGGACUAUGAUCUUAAGCAUUUUUUGUAGAAUGACUCAGGGUCGAACGCAAUAGUGUUAUUAUCUUUUGGUCCAUUUAUUCGGACUAAUCUGCCAUUUUAUAUUUACAGCAAGUCAUUGGGAUCCUAAAUGGCACGCCUGCCUUUUUUACCCUUCUAAAGCCAUUACAGGAGUUGACCAUUCUUGGUCCGCUACCCGAGAAGUAACGGGGUCCAACGUGUGAGAAACCACAGGCAUUUUUCACACAUUACACUGCUGGUGAGUAUGCUUAUUUUGUAAAAAUAAGCUAUUUGGAAGGGGUGAACGGUCACCUCUGAUUACUUGUUGCAACUAAAUUUUGGUCUCGCAUAAUUUUUUACUACCCAGGUAUCUACCUGGUGGUGGUGAUUAUACAUAUAAUCAUCUCAACCAAGCAGUGAGAAAUAGAAGAUGAAAUUAGAAAGGGCUUAUCUUAGGGUUAUUUUUCCUUUAAGAGAUUUUUUUUAGUAAAGGUUUUUUCAGUAAAAACCUUUCUUUUCAGUAGAAAGAAUUUUUUUUCCUAAAAAACUUUUCCCACUUAUUCUAAUACUUAU